CCUACGGGUGGCUGCAGUGAGGAAUAUUGGUCAAUGGCCGGAAGGCUGAACCAGCCAUGCCGCGUGAAGGUCAGUGCCCUAUGGGCGUUAAACUUCUUUUGUGCGGGAGCAAUAAUGGUCACGUGUGGCCAGACGAGAGUACCGUACGAUUAAGCAUCGGCUAACUCCGUGCCAGCAGCCGCGGUAAUACGGGGGAGGCAAGCGUGAUCCGGAUUUAUGGGGUUUAAAGGGGGCGUAGGCGGGGAGGUAGGUUAGCGGUGAAUUCCCCCGCUCAAAGGGGUGAAGUGCCAUUGAUACUGCCUUGCUGGAAUGCGGAUGCGGUGGGAGGAAUGUGUGGUGUAGCGGUGAAAUGCAUAGAUAUCACACAGAACACCGAUUGCGAAGGCAUCUCACGAAUCCGCGAUUGACGCUGAUGCACGAAAGCGUGGGUAUCAAACAGGAUUAGAUACCCUAGUAGUC
This 459-nucleotide ribosomal RNA is filed under the name uncultured bacterium. Its description in RNAcentral is "partial 16S ribosomal RNA". It matches the Rfam family "Bacterial small subunit ribosomal RNA", at positions 338 to 795 of the family's 1533-position model. The record is from RNAcentral.